AAAAAUUCCAACUAAAAGUAGCAGCCUUAGUGCUGUUUACUUUUAAACCCUUGUGAACUGUUUAUUGUCUAUGGUGGGUUAAAAGAUCUCUCUUUGUAAGGGAUUGGCUUUUAACCAAGCUACCCACCUAUUUUAUUUAAACACUUUAUAAAUUUUGUCUUUAACAAUUCAUUUUUGAAUUCUUUGAAUUUAAAAA
Molecule: unclassified non-coding RNA, 196 nt
Filed under: uncultured Chytridiomycota
Lineage: Eukaryota; Fungi; Chytridiomycota
Description: sequence contains ITS1
Source: RNAcentral